UUGAAUAUUAAUUAUUUAGGUUCAUAAGAUUAAUAGGGAAAUGGGUUUAAGUCCCAUGCAGCCCCCGCUACUGUAAUUGAUGACGAAAUCAACGUAUAUACCACUGGAGAAAUCUGGGAAGGUGUUGAUUAGGAUGAUUCAUAAGCCAGAAGACCUGCCUAUAUAAGUUGUAAGCA
Molecule: non-coding RNA, 176 nt
Filed under: Proteiniborus sp. DW1
Lineage: Bacteria; Bacillati; Bacillota; Clostridia; Eubacteriales
Also listed under: 1 other name
Source: RNAcentral